Molecule: small nucleolar RNA, 138 nt
Organism: Tachyglossus aculeatus (Australian echidna)
Lineage: Eukaryota; Metazoa; Chordata; Mammalia; Monotremata; Tachyglossidae
Source: RefSeq, a predicted model, not a curated record
GUCCUCGCAGGAUCACAUCUGGAGAGUUUCUAGUACUCUACCAGUCUUGGCUAUGGGAGGGAGAGUUAAGCAGAGGCAAACCCAUUCCAUUCUUAGCUUGGGCAGUAGCUAGCGAGUCGAAGACAAUCUGAUACAAGC